RNAcentral lists this ribosomal RNA (442 nucleotides) under uncultured bacterium. Its description in RNAcentral is "bacterial SSU rRNA". It matches the Rfam family "Bacterial small subunit ribosomal RNA", at positions 32 to 501 of the family's 1533-position model. The record is from RNAcentral.
AAUCAACGCUGGCGGCGUGCCUAACACAUGCAAGUCGAACGAGAAAGUGGAGCAAUCCAUGAGUAAAGUGGCGACCGGGUGAGUAACACGUGACUAACCUACCUCCGAGUGGGGAAUAACUCCGGGAAACCGGGGCUAAUACCGCAUAACAUCGCGAGAUCAAAGCAGCAAUGCGCUUGGAGAGGGGGUCGCGGCUGAUUAGCUAGUUGGCGGGGUAAUGGCCCACCAAGGCGAAGAUCGGUAUCCGGCCUGAGAGGGCGCACGGACACACUGGAACUGAAACACGGUCCAGACUCCUACGGGAGGCAGCAGUGGGGAAUUUUGCGCAAUGGGGGAAACCCUGACGCAGCAACGCCGCGUGGAGGAUGAAGCCCUUUGGGGCGUAAACUCCUUUCGACCAAGACGAUAAUGACGGUACUGGUGGAAGAAGCACCGGGCUAAC